RNAcentral lists this transfer RNA (65 nucleotides) under Margaritifera dahurica. RNAcentral describes it as "tRNA-His". It matches the Rfam family "tRNA". Rfam says of the family: Transfer RNA (tRNA) molecules are approximately 80 nucleotides in length. Their secondary structure includes four short double-helical elements and three loops (D, anti-codon, and T loops). Lineage: Eukaryota; Metazoa; Mollusca; Bivalvia; Unionida; Margaritiferidae. The record is from RNAcentral.
GACGAAGUAGUUUAAGUUAAAAACGGCAGAUUGUGGUUCUGUUAAUAGUUGUAGUCUUUUCGUUG